UACAUGAAGCCGGAAUCGCUAGUAAUCGCGGAUCAGAAUGCCGCGGUGAAUACGUUCCCGGGUCUUGUACACACCGCCCGUCACACCAUGGGAGCCGGUAAUGCCCGAAGUCUGUGGCCCAACCGAAAGGAAGGAGCAGCCGAAGGCAGGCCCGGUGACUGGGGUGAAGUCGUAACAAGGUACC
RNAcentral lists this ribosomal RNA (184 nucleotides) under uncultured bacterium. Its description in RNAcentral is "partial 16S ribosomal RNA". It matches the Rfam family "Bacterial small subunit ribosomal RNA", at positions 1317 to 1500 of the family's 1533-position model. The record is from RNAcentral.